CUCUGGGUUGCAGUGUGCGCCACACGUCAUAUAAGUUAAAUUGGAUUAGGAGUUUAUUAAGUAUGGCGCAGGCCGGUGUAAGAGAUUUUGAUCUAGGUUUUGUUGCAUUUAGCGUUGUGUCCCUUUCGGGGUCUAGGAUAUGAUUCAGGUCUCCGCAGUAUAUUAAUGUGCCUUGUUGUAUAUUGCUCACCUUGGUCAGCAGGCUUUGUAGGAAAUCUCUUUGGUUGUCGUUUGGUGCAUAGAUGUUGACUAUGGUGUAUGUGACAUCAUUAAGGUUGCAUAUUAAUAUGAGAUCUCCCAUUACUGUCUGUGACUAUUUUAAUUGGUUCAAAUGCUACUGAUUUGUGCAUUAGGAUGCUGACUCCCCUGGAUGUGGAGUGGUAUUGGUUUGGAAAUUGUUUAAGGCCUAAGGAUGGCGAUUUCAGUCUUUGGAAGUGAGUCUCUUGGAGGCAUAUCACAUCCGCGUCAUGUUUUUUUCAGUUCUGUAAGCAGCAGUUGGCAUUUUUGGGGGGAGUUUAAUCCCCGUACAUUAUGUGAGUAUAUUUUCAUUAAGGAAUUGGUCUAACGUGGGCUUAUCAUUGGUCGUUGGGUGAUAUAGUCUAAAGUUUGGCAUGAGCUGGC
Non-coding RNA from Pelobates cultripes (western spadefoot toad), 621 nucleotides. The record is from the annotation of a GenBank genome assembly. NCBI's taxonomy places the organism in Eukaryota, Metazoa, Chordata, Amphibia, Anura, Pelobatidae.